GUGCUCGCUGUAGCAGCACAUAUACUAAAAUUGGAAAGAUACAGAGAAGAUUAGCAUGGCCCCUGUACAAGGAUGAGAUGCAAAUUUAUGAAGUGUCCCAUAUUUCU
This is a small nuclear RNA of Dromiciops gliroides (monito del monte), 107 nucleotides long. The record is from RefSeq and is a predicted model, not a curated record. NCBI's taxonomy places the organism in Eukaryota, Metazoa, Chordata, Mammalia, Microbiotheria, Microbiotheriidae.